UAGAGUUCUGGAGGAAUACCGGUGGAGAAGUCGGCCCCCUGGACAAAGACUGACGCUCAGGUGCGAAAGCGUGGGGAGCACACAGGAUUAGAUACCCUGGUAGUACACGCUGUAAACGAUGUCGACUUGGAGGUUGUGCCCUUGAGGUGUGGCUUCCGGAGCUAACGCGUUAAGUCGACCGCCUGGGGAGUACGGCCGCAAGGUUAAAACUCAAAUGAAUUGACGGGGGCCCGCACAAGCGGUGGAGCAUGUGGUUUAAUUCGAUGCAACGCGAAGAACCUUACCUACUCUUGACAUCCAGAGAACUUAGCAGAGAUGCUUUGGUGCCUUCGGGAACUCUGAGACAGGUGCUGCAUGGCUGUCGUCAGCUCGUGUUGUGAAAUGUUGGGUUAAGUCCCGCAACGAGCGCAACCCUUAUCCUUUGUUGCCAGCGGUCCGGCCGGGAACUCAAAGGAGACUGCCAGUGAUAAACUGGAGGAAGGUGGGGAUGACGUCAAGUCAUCAUGGCCCUUACGAGUAGGGCUACACACGUGCUACAAUGGCAUAUACAAAGAGAAGCGACCUCGCGAGAGCAAGCGGACCUCAUAAAGUAUGUCGUAGUCCGGAUUGGAGUCUGCAACUCGACUCCAUGAAGUCGGAAUCGCUAGUAAUCGUAGAUCAGAAUGCUACGGUGAAUACGUUCCCGGGCCUUGUACACACCGCCCGUCACACCAUGGGAGUGGGUUGCAAAAGAAGUAGGUAGCUUAACCUUCGGGAGGGCGCUACCAUCUUGGAU
This 775-nucleotide ribosomal RNA is filed under the name Klebsiella aerogenes. Its description in RNAcentral is "bacterial SSU rRNA". It matches the Rfam family "Bacterial small subunit ribosomal RNA", at positions 691 to 1467 of the family's 1533-position model. The record is from RNAcentral. Lineage: Bacteria; Pseudomonadati; Pseudomonadota; Gammaproteobacteria; Enterobacterales; Enterobacteriaceae.